GUGCCAGCCGCCGCGGUAAUACGUAGGCAGCGAGCGUUGUUCGGAGUUACUGGGCGUAAAGAGUGCGUAGGCGGUUUUCUAAGUUUGGUGUGAAAUCUCCCGGCUUAACUGGGAGGGUGCGCCGAAGACUGGAAGGCUUGAGUAUGGGAGAGGUAAGCGGAAUUCCUGGUGUAGCGGUGAAAUGCGUAGAUAUCAGGAGGAACACCUNCGGNGUAGACGGNUUACUGGACCAUAACUGACGCUGAGGCACGAAAGCGUNGNUAGCAAACA
This 270-nucleotide ribosomal RNA is filed under the name unidentified soil organism R6-105. RNAcentral describes it as "partial 16S ribosomal RNA". It matches the Rfam family "Bacterial small subunit ribosomal RNA", at positions 505 to 774 of the family's 1533-position model. The record is from RNAcentral.